Molecule: ribosomal RNA, 253 nt
Filed under: uncultured bacterium
Lineage: Bacteria
Description: partial 16S ribosomal RNA
Rfam family: Bacterial small subunit ribosomal RNA
Source: RNAcentral
UACGUAGGGUGCAAGCGUUGUCCGGAAUUAUUGGGCGUAAAGAGCUCGUAGGCGGUUUGUUGCGUCGGCUGUGAAAUCCCGAGGCUCAACCUCGGGUCUGCAGUCGAUACGAGCAAACUAGAGUGUUGCAGGGGAGACUGGAAUUCCUGGUGUAGCGGUGAAAUGCGCAGAUAUCAGGAGGAACACCGGUGGCGAAGGCGGGUCUCUGGGCCGACACUGACACUGAGAGACGAAAGCUAGGGGAGCGAAUGGG